RNAcentral lists this ribosomal RNA (643 nucleotides) under Fusarium acuminatum. Its description in RNAcentral is "eukaryotic LSU rRNA". It matches the Rfam family "Eukaryotic large subunit ribosomal RNA", at positions 1 to 654 of the family's 3401-position model. RNAcentral also lists the same sequence under 1 other name. The record is from RNAcentral. Lineage: Eukaryota; Fungi; Ascomycota; Sordariomycetes; Hypocreales; Nectriaceae.
AACUUCUGAAUGUUGACCUCGGAUCAGGUAGGAAUACCCGCUGAACUUAAGCAUAUCAAUAAGCGGAGGAAAAGAAACCAACAGGGAUUGCCCUAGUAACGGCGAGUGAAGCGGCAACAGCUCAAAUUUGAAAUCUGGCUUUCGGGCCCGAGUUGUAAUUUGUAGAGGAUACUUUUGAUGCGGUGCCUUCCGAGUUCCCUGGAACGGGACGCCAUAGAGGGUGAGAGCCCCGUCUGGUUGGAUGCCAAAUCUCUGUAAAGUUCCUUCGACGAGUCGAGUAGUUUGGGAAUGCUGCUCUAAAUGGGAGGUAUAUGUCUUCUAAAGCUAAAUAUUGGCCAGAGACCGAUAGCGCACAAGUAGAGUGAUCGAAAGAUGAAAAGCACUUUGAAAAGAGAGUUAAAAAGUACGUGAAAUUGUUGAAAGGGAAGCGUUUAUGACCAGACUUGGACUUGGUUAAUCAUCUGGGGUUCUCCCCAGUGCACUUUUCCAGUUCAGGCCAGCAUCAGUUUUCGCCGGGGGAUAAAGGCUUCGGGAAUGUAGCUCUCUUCGGGGAGUGUUAUAGCCCGUUGUGUAAUACCCUGGCGGAGACUGAGGUUCGCGCUUCUGCAAGGAUGCUGGCGUAAUGGUCAUCAACGACCCGUCU